This is a long non-coding RNA of Cucumis melo (muskmelon), 467 nucleotides long. RefSeq lists it as uncharacterized. Lineage: Eukaryota; Viridiplantae; Streptophyta; Magnoliopsida; Cucurbitales; Cucurbitaceae. The record is from RefSeq and is a predicted model, not a curated record. The transcript is spliced from 3 exons.
GAGUUCACUGCUCCUGCUGUUGAACUUCGCAACAACAAUCGCGUAAAUCAAUCGAUAAUACAAAAACUAUCCACAAAGAAGCCAGAUAUGAAGAGUAAAAUGAAUCUUCUUAAACUCAUUGCUUCUGAUAAGGGCAUUGUUGUGCAACUCAACGAUCAGGGUGAACCAUUCGGUUCGAUUCAAACUAGAAAACGAAGCAGGGAACAAAAUGAAGUUGUAAUUGCAACCACAAGCUCCUAUCAAACACGCAACUCCAGUCGCAAACUUAGACGUUGAUAUAUUUGUAUCUUUACUAUACUUCAUAUGCAAUAUUAAUACUCUAUCUAUUUUGUGGUUUCAACUUUUAAUUUCUACGCAUUUUUCGAAGAGUUCAAUUCAAUACUACUCGUUUGUUACUGGUGUUGGAUGAUUAUAAAUUGCAUUCUUAUCGUUCGUAAAUUUAUAAAUACAAUCUACUCUUUUUAAUA